GGAAUAUUGCACAAUGGGGGAAACCCUGAUGCAGCGACGCCGCGUGAGUGAAGAAGUAUUUCGGUAUGUAAAGCUCUAUCAGCAGGGAAGAAAAUGACGGUACCUGACUAAGAAGCCCCGGCUAACUACGUGCCAGCAGCCGCGGUAAUACGUAGGGGGCAAGCGUUAUCCGGAUUUACUGGGUGUAAAGGGAGCGUAGGUGGCAAGGCAAGUCAGAUGUGAAAUGCCGGGGCUCAACCCCGGAACUGCAUUUGAAACUGUCUAGCUAGAGUGCAGGAGAGGUAAGUGGAAUUCCUAGUGUAGCGGUGAAAUGCAUAGAUAUUAGGAGGAACACCAGUGGCGAAGGCGGCUUGCUGGACGAUAACUGACGCUGAGGCUCGAAAGCGUGGGGAGCAAACA
This 399-nucleotide ribosomal RNA is filed under the name uncultured Lachnospiraceae bacterium. RNAcentral describes it as "bacterial SSU rRNA". It matches the Rfam family "Bacterial small subunit ribosomal RNA", at positions 358 to 774 of the family's 1533-position model. The record is from RNAcentral. Lineage: Bacteria; Bacillati; Bacillota; Clostridia; Lachnospirales; Lachnospiraceae.